Molecule: ribosomal RNA, 356 nt
Organism: Lupinus angustifolius (narrow-leaved blue lupine)
Lineage: Eukaryota; Viridiplantae; Streptophyta; Magnoliopsida; Fabales; Fabaceae
Rfam family: Bacterial small subunit ribosomal RNA
Source: Rfam
UAUUUAGGGGAUUUGGUUGUUAUCUAGUGGGUCCGAGAUGAUUAACCCUAGGAUUUGUGGAGCCUAGCUGUGGUGGGCCUAGGUAUGAAAAUUGUUGUAAUGAAGCUAGAGAUGAAAUGUGUAGAGGUCAGAAAGAACAUCAACAACAAAGGCACUCUGCUUGUCCAACAUAUACAUUGUGAGACGAUAGCCAGGUAAGCGAAUGAGAUUAGAUACUCCAACAGCCCUAGGUGUAAACAUUGGAUACUAGCUGUUGUGUGUGUCAACCUUUGCAAUGUUGUAGCUAAUGCGUUAAGUAUCCUGCUUGGGGAGUAUGUUCGCUAGAAUGACACUAAAGGAAUCAGAGCUCUUUUUUC